RNAcentral lists this ribosomal RNA (131 nucleotides) under Vibrio campbellii. RNAcentral's name for it is "partial 16S ribosomal RNA". It matches the Rfam family "Bacterial small subunit ribosomal RNA", at positions 1 to 112 of the family's 1533-position model. The record is from RNAcentral. Lineage: Bacteria; Pseudomonadati; Pseudomonadota; Gammaproteobacteria; Vibrionales; Vibrionaceae.
UUAAAUUGAAGAGUUUGAUCAUGGCUCAGAUUGAACGCUGGCGGCAGGCCUAACACAUGCAAGUCGAGCGGAAACGAGUUAUCUGAACCUUCGGGGAACGAUAACGGCGUCGAGCGGCGGACGGGUGAGUA